UGGGAUGUAGCCAAGCGGUAAGGCACAUGGUUUUGGUCCAUGCAUUCGGGGGUUCGAAUCCCUCCAUCCCAGCCA
Molecule: transfer RNA, 75 nt
Filed under: Candidatus Saccharimonadota bacterium
Lineage: Bacteria; Candidatus Saccharimonadota
Also listed under: 1 other name
Description: tRNA-Gln
Rfam family: tRNA
About the family: Transfer RNA (tRNA) molecules are approximately 80 nucleotides in length. Their secondary structure includes four short double-helical elements and three loops (D, anti-codon, and T loops).
Source: RNAcentral